Molecule: long non-coding RNA, 212 nt
Organism: Symphalangus syndactylus (siamang)
Lineage: Eukaryota; Metazoa; Chordata; Mammalia; Primates; Hylobatidae
Source: RefSeq, a predicted model, not a curated record
UGCAAAACCAUCAUGCCUGGAAGAUCACUGCAUCAAUGUAAGAGGCUUUGGGAUAAGAGAAGGUAUUGAAACCUAGGUAUUAGAAGAUACCUUUCUGCCAACCAACUGUCUUUACAUCCUGUUCAUACACGAGAAGAGCGAGAUGCACAGCGUGGGGGAGGUUCAAUACAUUCCAUUCAUAAAUUUUUAUUAAAAAGGUACAAAAGGAAAAA